This 458-nucleotide ribosomal RNA is filed under the name uncultured bacterium. RNAcentral's name for it is "partial 16S ribosomal RNA". It matches the Rfam family "Bacterial small subunit ribosomal RNA", at positions 338 to 795 of the family's 1533-position model. The record is from RNAcentral.
CCUACGGGUGGCAGCAGUGAGGAAUAUUGGUCAAUGGGCGAGAGCCUGAACCAGCCAAGUCGCGUGAGGGAGUACUGCCCUAUGGGUUGUAAACCUCUUUUGUCGGGGAGCAAAAGCCGGACGUGUCCGGCCGUGAGAGUACCCGAAGAAAAAGCAUCGGCUAACUCCGUGCCAGCAGCCGCGGUAAUAGGGAGGCGGCGGGCGUUAUCCGGAUUUAUUGGGGUUAAAGGGUGCGCAGGCGGAUUUUUAAGUUAGCGUGCAAAUCGUGGGGCUAAACCCCAUCCAGCCGUUGAAACUGGGGAUCUAGAGUGUGCGAGAGGUAUGCGGAAGGCGUGGUGUAGCGGUGAAAUGCAUAGAUAUCACGCAGAACCCCGAUUGCGAAGGCAGCAUACCGGUGCACAACUGACGCUCAGGAACGAAAGCGUGGGUAUCGAACAGGAUUAGAUACCCGAGUAGUC